RNAcentral lists this ribosomal RNA (254 nucleotides) under uncultured bacterium. RNAcentral describes it as "partial 16S ribosomal RNA". It matches the Rfam family "Bacterial small subunit ribosomal RNA", at positions 524 to 776 of the family's 1533-position model. The record is from RNAcentral.
CACGUAGGGUGCGAGCGUUGUCCGGAAUUAUUGGGCGUAAAGAGCUCGUAGGCGGUGUGUCGCGUCGGCCGUGAAAACCUGCAGCUUAACUGUGGGCUUGCGGUCGAUACGGGCAUCACUGGAGUUCGGCAGGGGAGACUGGAAUUCCUGGUGUAGCGGUGAAAUGCGCAGAUAUCAGGAGGAACACCGGUGGCGAAGGCGCUCAUCUGGCCCGAUACUGACGCUGAGGCGCGAAAGCUAGGGGAGCAAACGGG